AGAGUUUGAUCAUGGCUCAGAUUGAACGCUGGCGGCAUGCUUAAUACAUGCAAGUCGAACGGUAACAGAUUCUUCGGAAUGCUGACGAGUGGCGGACGGGUGAGUAAUACAUAGGAAUCUGCCCAUGUAGUGGGGGACAACUUGGGGAAACUCAAGCUAAUACCGCAUAAUCCCUACGGGAUAAAGAGGGCCACUGCUUGCAAGCUCUUGCUACUGGAUGAGCCUAUGUCGGAUUAGUUAGUUGGUAAGGUAAUGGCUUACCAAGACAGCGAUCCGUAGCUGGUUUGAGAGGAUGAUCAGCCACACUGGGACUGAGACACGGCCCAGACUCCUACGGGAGGCAGCAGUAGGGAGUAUUGGACAAUGGGCGCAAGCCUGAUCCAGCAAUGCCGCGUGUGUGAAGAAGGCCUGCGGGUUGUAAAGCACUUUCAAUUGGGAAGAAAGAUUAUGAGUUAAUACCUUAUAAUAUUGACG
Molecule: ribosomal RNA, 474 nt
Filed under: uncultured bacterium
Lineage: Bacteria
Description: bacterial SSU rRNA
Rfam family: Bacterial small subunit ribosomal RNA
Source: RNAcentral